ACAGCCACUUCGGAAGCAGGGGCUCUCUGCGCCAGGUCGGAGACGCACCUUACAAAACAUAUCAUCGACGCCGCUCACAUCGGGUUUUUGUCUUCAGCACGACACCACACUUGAGUCUGUGUGGCCACUUUCUCUCCCAUACCUCGAUCACACGUCUUGAAAAGCGGUAGUGCAUCAACGCACGCCGACACACAUAAACGCGAAGGCACCGCGCGAGUGGUUCAGCCUCUGCAGCCCUCCCCGUCCCCGCCCUCCAGCAAUGUUUCGAGGCCGUACUUUCCUGGUCUCUCUUGCGGCGUCGCCGUUGACGGUGGCAGAGCUUACCCAAAACGGCGGCCGCGUGGUGUACGACUUGGAUGACAAGACUCCCGUCACAUGCGCCAUCAUCGCGAGCGAUAACCAGCCCGGCACUCCCGCGCGCUGCAGCCGUGGCUCGGGGCCAUCAAAGGAACUGCCUAAAUCAGUGGAGAGCCGCGUCCGUUCCAGUCGCCUCACAGUAGUUUACGAGCAUUGGGUGCAUGAGUGCCUGCGCGAGAACCGUCUCUUGCUACCGUGCCGAGACUACCCCGACACCAUCGCUUACGACCCGUACUUAUUUGCGGGCGUUCACUUCACGACGACGCAGCUGCCGCUGCAGCUGAAAGCGAACAUUAUCGCACUCAUGCAGUUCUACGGUGCCACGUACCACAACCACCUGCUGGACACGACGAACCUGUUAGUUUACAGUCACAUGCGCCUUUCACCCGCCGCCCCGCGGCAUGCGGCGACGGCCCCUCUUGCGCCUCGGCUUCUCGCUGCCGGUGGUUGCGGCGCAGAGGCACCGCCUUCCACCAACGAAGCGGAGGCUGCAAACACCAGUCCCAGCCAGCAAUUAUCGACGGAGCGGUCUGGCGACAACCCUACCGACGCUGCUCAGCCAUCGCUGACGAAGCUCGCCGUUGCGCGUCAGCGCGGCCUUGCGUGCGUGACACCACAGUGGGUGCAGCUGUGUCUGAACACUGGCGAACUGAAACCGGCAAGCUCGGCUCUAGCAGCGACACCUCUUGCUCAGACCCCGCCGCCUCCUUCCACCAACUCCAGCUCAACAAUCCGGACUGACGCUCCUGUGCCCAUCGUGACUGCUGCUGGCGAUCUUCGCCACAAUGAGGAGGAAGUGGAUCGAUGGGUCGGCGAAGUACUCAGGAGCACAUCACCUUUGGCUCUUCCGCACUCUGGUGGUGCCACCACAGGUGUGUGUGCGGCGCCCCUCCCUGGGUCGUCGUUGUGCACCGUGCCAGGAAGACAGGAGGAAGCUGCCGAGGUGCGUGAGGCGCUCAGGCUAGCAGCUCAGCUCUCGCUCUCUGGUGCUUCAGCCUCGAGGACGCGAAAGCGCCGGCGCGCGCACUGACGGCAUGCCAAAACAAAAAAGAGAACAGAAGGCGCUGAUGGAGAAUGGAGCUCGUAGAGCCGCCGCUCACGUCUGCUCCCUCUCUUGAGCCGCAGUCGCACAUAGAAUCUCUCGCAUGCUUUAUGUCGACUUUCCUCGGCGAGUCUGAGUAAAUCAAAGUGAGGGAGAAAAGGACCGAUGCCGAUGGUGCCGUGGUCCGCACUCGAUAGAAGACGAAGAGAGUCGAUGAAACUGCAUGUGUAGAAGCACGCGCGCGCACACACACAUGCACACAUACAGUUUCACGCAUAAGCCGUAGAUGCAUGCGCGCAUACACGCAUAGACAAGAAAACGCUGGCAUAGCGGCGUAGAACACACAAGAUGCACAGAAAAGCAAACGAAAUACACACACACACAUACAUACACACAAGAGCAGCAGGAAAAGGAGUUGCUGCGUGUGCCUGCGCGCUGCGCUCCUGCUUCUUGCCGUGCUCACGCAGCUUGACUGAUUUUCGCCGUGGCUACUUCUUUUCUUUUCCCCGCCCCCCCCCUCCCUCCCUCCUUCUCUGGCACUGUCGCACAACGUCUCACGCCUUGCGAUUCGUGUGAUUGCUCUGAGGGAGGAGUAUGCAUUGCCUCCUCCCCAUUUUUUGGCCUCUGUUGCAGCGCACACCCAGUGUUGUGUCAGAUUUCUUCCCCUUUUUCUCACGGGCCGCGUGCAAAGCCCUCUCUGGGUUGCGUGAGGUUGGCUGUUGUUGCUUGGCUCGCUGUGUCUAUUUCGCCGCACAUGCACCCCACCCCCCAAACCCCAUCCUCUCCCUUUCCCUAGUCAUCGUUGCACUCUUCACACGCGCUGCAUGCGCUGAUAACGGAGACAAGCAUGGACAACGCAG
This 2259-nucleotide unclassified non-coding RNA is filed under the name Leishmania donovani. Its description in RNAcentral is "gene:LdHU3.36.3130(CDS-product:hypothetical_prote in_conserved)". The record is from RNAcentral. Lineage: Eukaryota; Euglenozoa; Kinetoplastea; Trypanosomatida; Trypanosomatidae.